Molecule: ribosomal RNA, 497 nt
Filed under: uncultured bacterium
Lineage: Bacteria
Description: partial 16S ribosomal RNA
Rfam family: Bacterial small subunit ribosomal RNA
Source: RNAcentral
GACGAACGCUGGCGGCGUGCCUAAUACAUGCAAGUUGAGCGCUGAAGGUUGGUACUUGUACCAACUGGAUGAGCAGCGAACGGGUGAGUAACGCGUGGGGAAUCUGCCUUUGAGCGGGGGACAACAUUUGGAAACGAAUGCUAAUACCGCAUAAAAACUUUAAACACAAGUUUUAAGUUUGAAAGAUGCAAUUGCAUCACUCAAAGAUGAUCCCGCGUUGUAUUAGCUAGUUGGUGAGGUAAAGGCCCACCAAGGCGAUGAUACAUAGCCGACCUGAGAGGGUGAUCGGCCACAUUGGGACUGAGACACGGCCCAAACUCCUACGGGAGGCAGCAGUAGGGAAUCUUCGGCAAUGGACGAAAGUCUGACCGAGCAACGCCGCGUGAGUGAAGAAGGUUUUCGGAUCGUAAAACUCUGUUGGUAGAGAAGAACGUUGGUGAGAGUGGAAAGCUCAUCAAGUGACGGUAACUACCCAGAAAGGGACGGCUAGCUACGUG